UUAUAAACAAAACUUUGCAUUUUAGAUUCAUUUAUUUAAUGAUGUAUGUGGUCUAUAAUAAAGACCACAUACAUCAUUAAAUAAAUGAAUCUAAAAUACAAAGUCUUGCUUAUAG
MicroRNA precursor from Medicago truncatula (barrel medic), 115 nucleotides. It matches the Rfam family "MIR2593 microRNA precursor family". The record is from Rfam. NCBI's taxonomy places the organism in Eukaryota, Viridiplantae, Streptophyta, Magnoliopsida, Fabales, Fabaceae.